GGGUUGUGAGGUUAAGCGACUAAGCGUACACGGUGGAUGCCCUGGCAGUCAGAGGCGAUGAAGGACGUGCUAAUCUGCGAUAAGCGUCGGUAAGGUGAUAUGAACCGUUAUAACCGGCGAUUUCCGAAUGGGGAAACCCAGUGUGAUUCGUCACACUAUCAUUAACUGAAUCCAUAGGUUAAUGAGGCGAACCGGGGGAACUGAAACAUCUAAGUACCCCGAGGAAAAGAAAUCAACCGAGAUUCCCCCAGUAGCGGCGAGCGAACGGGGAGCAGCCCAGAGCCUGAAUCAGUGUGUGUGUUAGUGGAAGCGUCUGGAAAGGCGCGCGAUACAGGGUGACAGCCCCGUACACAAAAAUGCACAUGCUGUGAGCUCGAUGAGUAGGGCGGGACACGUGGUAUCCUGUCUGAAUAUGGGGGGACCAUCCUCCAAGGCUAAAUACUCCUGACUGACCGAUAGUGAACCAGUACCGUGAGGGAAAGGCGAAAAGAACCCCGGCGAGGGGAGUGAAAAAGAACCUGAAACCGUGUACGUACAAGCAGUGGGAGCACAGAGCAAUCUGUGUGACUGCGUACCUUUUGUAUAAUGGGUCAGCGACUUAUAUUCUGUAGCAAGGUUAACCGAAUAGGGGAGCCGAAGGGAAACCGAGUCUUAACUGGGCGUUAAGUUGCAGGGUAUAGACCCGAAACCCGGUGAUCUAGCCAUGGGCAGGUUGAAGGUUGGGUAACACUAACUGGAGGACCGAACCGACUAAUGUUGAAAAAUUAGCGGAUGACUUGUGGCUGGGGGUGAAAGGCCAAUCAAACCGGGAGAUAGCUGGUUCUCCCCGAAAGCUAUUUAGGUAGCGCCUCGUGAAUUCAUCUCCGGGGGUAGAGCACUGUUUCGGCAAGGGGGUCAUCCCGACUUACCAACCCGAUGCAAACUGCGAAUACCGGAGAAUGUUAUCACGGGAGACACACGGCGGGUGCUAACGUCCGUCGUGAAGAGGGAAACAACCCAGACCGCCAGCUAAGGUCCCAAAGUCAUGGUUAAGUGGGAAACGAUGUGGGAAGGCCCAGACAGCCAGGAUGUUGGCUUAGAAGCAGCCAUCAUUUAAAGAAAGCGUAAUAGCUCACUGGUCGAGUCGGCCUGCGCGGAAGAUGUAACGGGGCUAAACCAUGCACCGAAGCUGCGGCAGCGACGCUUAUGCGUUGUUGGGUAGGGGAGCGUUCUGUAAGCCUGCGAAGGUGUGCUGUGAGGCAUGCUGGAGGUAUCAGAAGUGCGAAUGCUGACAUAAGUAACGAUAAAGCGGGUGAAAAGCCCGCUCGCCGGAAGACCAAGGGUUCCUGUCCAACGUUAAUCGGGGCAGGGUGAGUCGACCCCUAAGGCGAGGCCGAAAGGCGUAGUCGAUGGGAAACAGGUUAAUAUUCCUGUACUUGGUGUUACUGCGAAGGGGGGACGGAGAAGGCUAUGUUGGCCGGGCGACGGUUGUCCCGGUUUAAGCGUGUAGGCUGGUUUUCCAGGCAAAUCCGGAAAAUCAAGGCUGAGGCGUGAUGACGAGGCACUACGGUGCUGAAGCAACAAAUGCCCUGCUUCCAGGAAAAGCCUCUAAGCAUCAGGUAACAUCAAAUCGUACCCCAAACCGACACAGGUGGUCAGGUAGAGAAUACCAAGGCGCUUGAGAGAACUCGGGUGAAGGAACUAGGCAAAAUGGUGCCGUAACUUCGGGAGAAGGCACGCUGAUAUGUAGGUGAAGCGACUUGCUCGUGGAGCUGAAAUCAGUCGAAGAUACCAGCUGGCUGCAACUGUUUAUUAAAAACACAGCACUGUGCAAACACGAAAGUGGACGUAUACGGUGUGACGCCUGCCCGGUGCCGGAAGGUUAAUUGAUGGGGUCAGCGCAAGCGAAGCUCUUGAUCGAAGCCCCGGUAAACGGCGGCCGUAACUAUAACGGUCCUAAGGUAGCGAAAUUCCUUGUCGGGUAAGUUCCGACCUGCACGAAUGGCGUAAUGAUGGCCAGGCUGUCUCCACCCGAGACUCAGUGAAAUUGAACUCGCUGUGAAGAUGCAGUGUACCCGCGGCAAGACGGAAAGACCCCGUGAACCUUUACUAUAGCUUGACACUGAACAUUGAGCCUUGAUGUGUAGGAUAGGUGGGAGGCUUGGAAGUGUGGACGCCAGUCUGCAUGGAGCCGACCUUGAAAUACCACCCUUUAAUGUUUGAUGUUCUAACGUUGACCCGUAAUCCGGGUUGCGGACAGUGUCUGGUGGGUAGUUUGACUGGGGCGGUCUCCUCCUAAAGAGUAACGGAGGAGCACGAAGGUUGGCUAAUCCUGGUCGGACAUCAGGAGGUUAGUGCAAUGGCAUAAGCCAGCUUGACUGCGAGCGUGACGGCGCGAGCAGGUGCGAAAGCAGGUCAUAGUGAUCCGGUGGUUCUGAAUGGAAGGGCCAUCGCUCAACGGAUAAAAGGUACUCCGGGGAUAACAGGCUGAUACCGCCCAAGAGUUCAUAUCGACGGCGGUGUUUGGCACCUCGAUGUCGGCUCAUCACAUCCUGGGGCUGAAGUAGGUCCCAAGGGUAUGGCUGUUCGCCAUUUAAAGUGGUACGCGAGCUGGGUUUAGAACGUCGUGAGACAGUUCGGUCCCUAUCUGCCGUGGGCGCUGGAGAAUUGAGGGGGGCUGCUCCUAGUACGAGAGGACCGGAGUGGACGCAUCACUGGUGUUCGGGUUGUCAUGCCAAUGGCACUGCCCGGUAGCUAAAUGCGGAAGAGAUAAGUGCUGAAAGCAUCUAAGCACGAAACUUGCCCCGAGAUGAGUUCUCCCUGACUCCUUGAGAGUCCUGAAGGAACGUUGAAGACGACGACGUUGAUAGGCCGGGUGUGUAAGCGCAGCGAUGCGUUGAGCUAACCGGUACUAAUGAACCGUGAGGCUUAACCUUACAACGCCGAAG
RNAcentral lists this ribosomal RNA (2927 nucleotides) under Escherichia coli. Its description in RNAcentral is "partial 23S ribosomal RNA". It matches the Rfam family "Bacterial large subunit ribosomal RNA". The record is from RNAcentral. Lineage: Bacteria; Pseudomonadati; Pseudomonadota; Gammaproteobacteria; Enterobacterales; Enterobacteriaceae.